This 491-nucleotide ribosomal RNA is filed under the name uncultured bacterium. Its description in RNAcentral is "partial 16S ribosomal RNA". It matches the Rfam family "Bacterial small subunit ribosomal RNA", at positions 29 to 507 of the family's 1533-position model. The record is from RNAcentral.
AGUGAACGCUGGCGAUAGGCCUAACACAUGCAAGUCGAACGGCAGCACAGUAGAGCUUGCUCUUACGGGUGGCGAGUGGCGGACGGGUGAGGAAUACAUCGGAAUCUACUUUUUCGUGGGGGAUAACGUAGGGAAACUUACGCUAAUACCGCAUACGACCUACGGGUGAAAGCAGGGGAUCUUCGGACCUUGCGCGAUUGAAUGAGCCGAUGUCGGAUUAGCUAGUUGGCGGGGUAAAGGCCCACCAAGGCGACGAUCCGUAGCUGGUCUGAGAGGAUGAUCAGCCACACUGGAACUGAGACACGGUCCAGACUCCUACGGGAGGCAGCAGUGGGGAAUAUUGGACAAUGGGCGCAAGCCUGAUCCAGCCAUACCGCGUGGGUGAAGAAGGCCUUCGGGUUGUAAAGCCCUUUUGUUGGGAAAGAAAAGCAGCAGGUUAAUACCCCGCUGUUCUGACGGUACCCAAAGAAUAAGCACCGGCUAACUUCGUG